Molecule: ribosomal RNA, 1050 nt
Filed under: uncultured bacterium
Lineage: Bacteria
Description: bacterial SSU rRNA
Rfam family: Bacterial small subunit ribosomal RNA
Source: RNAcentral
AGAGUUUGAUCCUGGCUCAGGGUGAACGCUGGCGGCGCGCUUAAUGCAUGCAAGUCGAGCGUGAUCGUGGCUUCGGCCACAAUGAUAAAGCGGCAGACGGCUGAGUAACGCGUGAGUAAUCUGCCCUCCGGUGGGGUAUAACCUCGGGAAACUGAGGAUAAUCCCGCAUACGACCUGCAUCCCUUGGGGUGCAGAUGAAAGGCUUCGGUCGCCGGAGGAGGAGCUCGCGUCCUAUCAGGUUGUUGGUGGGGUAAUGGCCUACCAAGCCGAUGACGGGUAGCUGGUCUGAGAGGAUGACCAGCCAGAGGGGGACUGAGAACGGCCCCCACUCCUACGGGAGGCAGCAGCAGGGAAUCUUGGGCAAUGGGCGAAAACCUGACCCAGCGACGUCGCGUGGGGGACGAAGGCCUUCGGGUUGUAAACCCCUUUUCCGAGGGAAGAGAAAGGACGGUACCUCGGGAAUAAGCCCCGGCUAACUACGUGCCAGCAGCCGCGGUAAUACGUAGGGGGCAAGCGUUACCCGGAAUCACUGGGCGUAAAGUGCGCGUAGGCGGUUGGAUAAGUCUCUUGUGAAAGCUCCCGGCUCAACUGGGAGAGGUCAAGGGAUACUAUUUGACUAGAGGACAGCAGAGGUAAGCAGAAUUCCCGGUGUAGCGGUGGAAUGCGUAGAUAUCGGGAGGAACACCAGUGGCGAAAGCGGCUUACUGGGCUGUAUCUGACGCUGAGGCGCGAGAGCGUGGGGAGCAAACUGGAUUAGAUACCCAGGUAGUCCACGCCCUAAACGAUGGAUACUAGGUAUGGGGGGUAUUGACCCCCUCCGUGCCGUAGCUAACGCGUUAAGUAUCCCGCCUGGGGACUACGGCCGCAAGGCUAAAACUCAAAGGAAUUGACGGGGGCCCGCACAAGCGGUGGAGCGUGUGGUUUAAUUCGAUGCUAAGCGAAGAACCUUACCUGGGCUUGACAUGUUGGUAGUAGGAACCCGAAAGGGUAACGACCUCGGGGUAACUCGGGGAGCCUUCACAGGUGCUGCAUGGCUGUCGUCAGCUCGUG